CUGGCUCAGGAUGAACGCUAGCUACAGGCUUAACACAUGCAAGUCGAGGGGCAGCAUUGGAGUAGCAAUACUCAGAUGGCGACCGGCGCACGGGUGAGUAACACGUAUCCAACCUGCCGCUUACUCGGGGAUAGCCUUUCGAAAGAAAGAUUAAUACCCGAUGGUAUAAAGAGUUCGCAUGUUCUCUUUAUUAAAGAAUUUCGGUAAGCGAUGGGGAUGCGUUCCAUUAGAUAGUUGGCGGGGUAACGGCCCACCAAGUCUACGAUGGAUAGGGGUUCUGAGAGGAAGGUCCCCCACAUUGGAACUGAGACACGGUCCAAACUCCUACGGGAGGCAGCAGUGAGGAAUAUUGGUCAAUGGACGCGAGUCUGAACCAGCCAAGUAGCGUGAAGGAUGACUGCCCUAUGGGUCGUAAACUUCUUUUAUAAGGGAAUAAAGUGAGGGACGUGUCCCUUUUUGUAUGUACCUUAUGAAUAAGGAUCGGCUAACUCCGUGCCAGCAGCUGC
This 506-nucleotide ribosomal RNA is filed under the name uncultured bacterium. RNAcentral's name for it is "bacterial SSU rRNA". It matches the Rfam family "Bacterial small subunit ribosomal RNA", at positions 19 to 518 of the family's 1533-position model. The record is from RNAcentral.